CAAAGGGCUCAACGUCUGGAAGAUGCUGGGAAAGCUGGCUGGAAGCUCCCCCCCUCCCGUGGUCACGUUUCCUCAGCACAAUGGAAGUCUCCCACUGUCACACUGAAUAGAACCAGGAGCGUGGGAUGGUUCAGGGUGGAGACAAUAACUUCGCUCCGGCAAAGGUGCAGGAAAGCAAGGCCAGGCGGAUCACUUAAAACUGUACUACUGAGAGAGUUACCAAAGCCCAGACUUGGAAAGGAUCUUAAAAGCAUGUGGCUCCAGUUGGGUGCUGGAAUGCACUCUCCAGCAUCUCUGACAGAUGGCCAUUCAGCCUCCGCUGAGACCUCCAGUGACUGGUCAGUCACCGCUGACCACAGAGCCUUCCGAAGGCUCUUGGUUCUUCUGCAGAGCUAUCUCAAGUCUCUUUUUCUCCAAGCUAAAUACUCUCAUGAAGUCCUUGUCACUGUUUUUAAUAGUCUGCACCCCUCAUCAGGAUUGAGCAUGCUCAUCCGAAUGUUAAACGUUAUCAACAUUCUUAAAGUUUCCGACAAUAGCAAAUAUAAUAUGGUAUGACUCUCACCAAUGUUUUCUCCUUCUGUAGCCUAAAUGUCUCAAUUUUUUUCCCCCUGUGUUUUCUUUGGGUGGUUCCAUCCCACUUUCUUGACUCACAGUAAGCUUAGUCAACUGAAACUCUUACAUCUUUCCCAUCCUGAACUUGUAUACUUUUUAUUUAUUUAUUUUUCAAUCCAAAGGGAGGACUUCGUGUUGUUCCCUGGUGAAUUUCUAAGAUCCAGGUUUUGUUCUAGUCUCCUAGAUCUUUUCGGAUCCAGAACCUGUCACUCAAGCCAUUAGCUCUCCAAAUUCGUGCCAUCCACCAAUUUUAUCAGUAAGGCCUCUAACUUCCCAUCGAAGCUGUAUUAAAAAUGUUUCACAUGGCAAAGAUCCAAUGUUGGCCUCCGCCUGCCAGGCUAAUUUGGGCUCCCUCAGGUUUGGUUAUUUAGCCUGUUUUAGGAGAAGUCACGUUUCUUUUUACCACUUAUAUUUAUGUGUUCCACAUUAGAAAACUGAUAUUCCAAUUCUAAAAUGAUUCCAUUAAAAAAAACAGGGCGCCACUGGUUUAGAAAGGUACUAGUAACCUCUAGAUUUCUCUCUCUGCCACACAACUUGAUGAAAAUAAAUUAAGCUAGUGUCUCUCAUUUUUCAUCCCUCUGUAAGGCCAAUCUUUGUAAAGGAAAAAGAGUGUUGAAUGCUCAACACUUUGAAGAUAAGUAAAUGAUGCAUACUGAAGGAAAUGAAGAAAAAACCAAACUCCAAGAACCCUGGACUGAGAAGUAAGGCAAAGGGACAGAUCUGAGCGCUAGCAUCACACUGUAGCUCCCUGAGGGCAAGCACAGGCCUUGCUCAUCUGGGUUCCAGAUUAGCUGGAAGGUAGUGGGCGCUCAACAUGCCUUUAAUGAACUGAACUGGCUCCCUCUAGUGGCUGGGUUUACAACAUUUUUUUUUUAGCGUCACCUCUUUUAUACUAUUCCUUUUCUAUGGGGAGAAAUGCAAGUCGACGUGAGGAUGGGCAGGGUCCACUGCAUUAAAUGGCCUUUGCCUAGGCUGCAAGGGGGCACAAUUUCUUUCUUAAGUAAGUGAAAGUAAAAAAGAAAACUAUUUCUGUUUGGAGCUUUGUUGAUUUUGUGAGAAAAACAUGUAACAGCUUUAAUUCAUUUAAUUUUAAAAUUCAGAGCAGAGAAUGCGGCAAUCUAGUACAUAGGGGGGAAAAGCAGUAUGAAAAUGUAAAUUUCAGUUCUGCAUUAUGGCCAUUUAAGGGAACAGGGAGAGGAUGGACAAGGAGAUGGCAGAUAACGGAGAGGAGAGGCUGAAACAAUGGGGUGCCAAGAAAGGGGGAGGAGGCAUGCCCGGAGGGAGAGAGUCAUCAGAAGGUCCCACCCAGGAAAGUUAUCACUGGAAAUACUAAAGGACUGGAUCAUAUGUGUUGUGCUAAAGACAAAGGCAUUUAGAUAUUGAUAUAAGAAACAAGGAUAAUUUCCUAGUAAAAGUUGGAAUUCUAAGACAAAUAAGUUGAUAAAACCCCUGUUCUAGUAAUUUAGAACCUCUUCAGAGAUGAGUGAAUUCCAAGAAUAGCUCAACUAUUUGUUGGAAGAUAAAAAAGACCCCUAAUUAAGGUAUUUUUUCCCCCUGAAGACAUGAGAUUGAUCCACUUGCUCCCACCCAGUCCCACAACUACAUGACGGCCACUCUCACAGGAGGAUCGCUGCCCUUUUGGGUAGUGUGUGGCGGCCACAGGACAAUGUUAGGUGUCAAGGAGACAAAGCCAUCAUUGACCUAGCCCAGUCGUGAGAAUCCCAAGUUAAGGACCUGGGAUGUUCACCUCCAGCCGUAUGGAGAACUCCCUUUUAGGAUGGAGAGCUCACUCAUGUAUGGUGGUCCAUGCCUCUCCUGGGCAGCUUCGAUGGCUAGAAGCUUUUCCCUUAAUUUGAGCUGACAUCAGCUUUUCUGCUCUUCCACCCAUUGAUCUUGCUCUGCCCUUCAGCAUGAAAGAAAGCAUCUUUUAAGAAAUCCUUCCAAUGAUUGGCUAGCUCAGCAAGAUCUGAGAGCAGCCAUACAAAGGAAAAACUCCCCUGAGACAGGAAGCAAAAGCAAGUGGUGAGAGGGAGAGAGUGGGCCCUGGGCGGGACACCACACGCUUGGCUUCUCUGGUCUCCUUUUGCUUGGUGGGCAUGGGCUCCUGGGCCUCAGCCCAGUGGCUUAUUGCACAAGUUCCAUAAAAUCAGGAGAGAUGGGGGUGCUUCUGGGAAGUGAUGGCUGGGGCUCUCUAGGAAGAGAAGGACACCCACAGAAAGGCCAGCUAGAGUUUCUGAAAACCCUAGGGUCGUGGGAAGCUGAUGGAGUGCAUCAGACCAGGCUGGUGUCUCUUCCAAAAGCCCCAAAUGAUCAUCAGAUUAGCAGAUUUUCAGGGGAAAGGGCUCACGGCAGAAACUCAAAUGCUGAGAAUCCAGGCGUGCUUUCAAAGGGAAACAGGCCAGGGAGCAUGGUACUAAAUAAGAUAAAUUUUCUACAAGCUUACGAUUUGUUUAGCCUGAUAGUUUUCUUAAUGAGUGAGUGAAAUAAUAUAUCUAAAAUACAUAUAUAUAUAUAUUUCUUCUUCUUAAUUGGUUUUUCAG
Equus asinus (donkey) is the source of this 3152-nucleotide long non-coding RNA. NCBI's taxonomy places the organism in Eukaryota, Metazoa, Chordata, Mammalia, Perissodactyla, Equidae. The record is from Ensembl.